RNAcentral lists this ribosomal RNA (484 nucleotides) under uncultured bacterium. RNAcentral describes it as "partial 16S ribosomal RNA". It matches the Rfam family "Bacterial small subunit ribosomal RNA", at positions 30 to 507 of the family's 1533-position model. The record is from RNAcentral.
AUUGAACGCUGGCGGCAGGCCUAACACAUGCAAGUCGAGCGGAUGAAGGGAGCUUGCUCCUGGAUUCAGCGGCGGACGGGUGAGUAAUGCCUAGGAAUCUGCCUGGUAGUGGGGGAUAACGUCCGGAAACGGGCGCUAAUACCGCAUACGUCCUGAGGGAGAAAGUGGGGGAUCUUCGGACCUCACGCUAUCAGAUGAGCCUAGGUCGGAUUAGCUAGUUGGUGGGGUAAAGGCCUACCAAGGCGACGAUCCGUAACUGGUCUGAGAGGAUGAUCAGUCACACUGGAACUGAGACACGGUCCAGACUCCUACGGGAGGCAGCAGUGGGGAAUAUUAGACAAUGGGCGAAAGCCUGAUCCAGCCAUGCCGCGUGUGUGAAGAAGGUCUUCGGAUUGUAAAGCACUUUAAGUUGGGAGGAAGGGCAGUAAGUUAAUACCUUGCUGUUUUGACGUUACCGACAGAAUAAGCACCGGCUAACUUCGUG